AGGUGUUGAUGUAAUGGAGGUGUUGAUGUAAUGGAGGUGUUGAUGUAAUGGAGGUGUUGAUGUAAUGGAGGUGUUGAUGUAAUGGAGGUGUUGAUGUAAUGGAGGUGUUGAUGUAAUGGAGGUGUUGAUGUAAUGGAGGUGUUGAUGUAAUGGAGGUGUUGAUGUAAUGGAGGUGUUGAUGUAAUGGAGGUGUUGAUGUAAUGGAGGUGUUGAUGUAAUGGAGGUGUUGAUGUAAUGGAGGUGAUGAUGUAAUGGAGGUGAUGAUGUAAUGGAGGUGUUGAUGUAAUGGAGGUGAUGAUGUAAUGGAGGUGAUGAUGUAAUGGAGGUGUUGAUGUAAUGGAGGUGUUGAUGUAAUGGAGGUGAUGGAGGUCAUUUGUAAGUUAAAGAUAUCAGCAGCAGACAUUAUCUUCUUCGAUCACUGAGCCUCUAACGUAUGUCUUCACCAAAUCUAUGCAAACUGGUAUUGUUCUUAAAGAUUUGUAUUGUUCUUAAAAGAUUUCAAAAUUGCCAAAAUUAUCCCCCUCUAUUAAUCUAAGGAUCCAAUAUAUUUAACAGAUUAUCGGCCGAUAUCUGUACUACCAAAGUCCAAUAACAAUGUAUUUAUCAGAGAAUCAUUUAAAUCAACACAAUGUGCACCAAUAUGUUUUUCGUAAAAACUACUCCACAGAUAUGGCUCUUUUGCAACUUGUGGAUAAAAUAUUUCCAGCCCUUAACAACAAUGAAUAUGCGCUUGGCAUCUUUUUAGAUUCAUUUAAAGCGUUUGACACGGUUGAUCAUGAAAUAUUACUUUCUAAAUUGCAUUGUUACGGUUUUCAUGAUUCUACAUAUAAUUGGUUAUAUAGUUAUGUUAUGAUAGAGAACAAUUUGUUUACGCAAACAGCUGUGCAUUUACCAGGGCCAAGAUAUGGUGUGGCAUCCCACAGGGUUGGAUAAUUGGACCUUUGUUAUUCCUAAUUUAUAUCAAUGACCUUGCUGCUGUGUCUUCUACCGUAAUUCUUUGCUGAUGAUACCAAUUUUGAUUUACUAAUUAAUGAAGCCAACUCAGGUAUGGCUACAUUUUCUGAAUGGUUCCAGAUUAUCCAAAUGAUCUUUACAUAAAAAUAAAACAAAGCUAACUUAAUUGUAUUCACUAGUAAGAGUAAGAAAUAUUGUUAAAAAAAAAGAAAAGAAAAAAAAGAGCUAGAAUCUCAAUUGGUGGGAAUGAAAUGGAGCAAGUCCCAUCUACUAGAUUCCUUGGAGUUCAUACUGAUGAAACGUUAUCCUGGAAAGAUCAUAUUCAAUUAGUCUGCAGCAGAGUGAUGAACUCUGUUGCAAUCAUCAGAAAGAUUAGUUAUUUGAUUCUUCACUUCAUGCUUCCUAACUCUUUACUAUAGCAUAAUUCCCCUAAUACUCAUUUACUGUAAUAUUUUCUGGGCCAGUACAUAUGCCUCCUACCUACACAAAUUACUCAUCAUACAAGAGACAUUUUCAAGACUAGCCACCUUCUCUAAUUACCUGGCUCCAUCUGCAAAUGUGUUUAAGAAACUCAAUAUAUUGUCUAUUUACGACAUUAAUUAUGCAUUUUCAUCUACAUAUACUCAUACAUCCCAGACAGUUUACCUAAACCUUUCAUUGACAAACAAGACACUGAGAUAACCUUCACCCUCCCUACUGCCGCGCCUCACAUAGUCUAUCUAUCAGAUACAGUGGCACCAUACUCUGGAAUUAUUAUCUUCAUAUUGGCAAAACAUCAUCAUCCCUCAAUAACUUCAAGUGAAGACUGGGGGUCAGACUGAUGAAACCAAACAACUCAGUAAUCUCCUGCAUAUAGCCCAACUCUCGCUCGGUCACAAGGCACAAACAAAACAUAUCCUGUUAUUUCAUAGUUUUGAUGUCUUCAGUAUUAUUCUACAAUAUAGAAAAUGGGAGAAAAAAAAAGAAAAACCCUGGAAUGAGUGGGUGUGUCCAAUGUUUGGACUGGUACUUUAUGUAAAUUGUAGAGUAUGUUGUCUGUAAUGUAUUUUUCGUCAUGUGUCGGACCACAGUAAGACUAGCUGUCACCAUUGCCGUCGGCUAAUGGAGAUCGUAAAAAUAAAUCCAAAUAAAAAAUCCUCGAUCCCUGCA
Long non-coding RNA from Oncorhynchus keta (chum salmon), 2103 nucleotides. RefSeq lists it as uncharacterized. The record is from RefSeq and is a predicted model, not a curated record. The transcript is spliced from 3 exons. NCBI's taxonomy places the organism in Eukaryota, Metazoa, Chordata, Actinopteri, Salmoniformes, Salmonidae.